RNAcentral lists this ribosomal RNA (119 nucleotides) under Lepisosteus oculatus (spotted gar). Lineage: Eukaryota; Metazoa; Chordata; Actinopteri; Semionotiformes; Lepisosteidae. The record is from RNAcentral.
UCUAGUAGCCAUCUCACCCUGCAACUCACAACUGGCAGCCCACCGAAGCUCAGCAGAUUUGAGCCUGGUCAGUACCUGGAUGGGAGAUCUCCUGGGAAAAACUAAGGUUGCUGCUGGAA